This 199-nucleotide unclassified non-coding RNA is filed under the name Scedosporium boydii. RNAcentral's name for it is "internal transcribed 2". The record is from RNAcentral. Lineage: Eukaryota; Fungi; Ascomycota; Sordariomycetes; Microascales; Microascaceae. RNAcentral also lists the same sequence under 1 other name.
UCAACCCUCGAACCUCCGUUUCCUCAGGGAAGCUCAGGGUCGGUGUUGGGGCGCUACGGCGAGUCUUCGCGACCCUCCGUAGGCCCUGAAAUACAGUGGCGGUCCCGCCGCGGUUGCCUUCUGCGUAGUAAGUCUCUUUUGCAAGCUCGCAUUGGGUCCCGGCGGAGGCCGCCGUCAAACCACCUAUAACUCCAGAUGG